RNAcentral lists this long non-coding RNA (414 nucleotides) under Fukomys damarensis (Damara mole-rat). Its description in RNAcentral is "lncRNA (ENSFDAG00000024074.1)". The record is from RNAcentral. Lineage: Eukaryota; Metazoa; Chordata; Mammalia; Rodentia; Bathyergidae.
AUGUUGGACAGCAGAAAUGAAAGACUUGGAAGGAACUGCAGAACUCAGGGCCUGGGAAAGUUUCAGGCAAAGAGAACAGGAAAAGAAAUCUGCAAAAUGUAUAUCCCCAAAUCUAGCCCUACUGGAUAUAUUGUUUCAACAACGUCCAUAAAGCUCAGAAUACCACUGGAAAAGGAAAAUACAGAAAUAUAUUUGGACUAUGUUAUGGGCACCUGAGGAUUCAUUCAGACUGACAAAGCACUGGAAAAGACUCCCCAAGAAAGGAGACAGCCCACCUUAGCCAAGAUAGUGAUUGCCUUCAUAUAAAGCAUGCUAUUUAUAAACUCUUUUCACCUAUAUUGCCUCAUUUAAUUUGAUUUUCAGCCUUCCUAGAGAAAUAAAGAAAAAUCACCUCUGUCAAAUUCAAACAAACAC